This is a long non-coding RNA of Varanus komodoensis (Komodo dragon), 2925 nucleotides long. RefSeq lists it as uncharacterized. The record is from RefSeq and is a predicted model, not a curated record. Lineage: Eukaryota; Metazoa; Chordata; Lepidosauria; Squamata; Varanidae. The transcript has 3 exons.
AAAAAUGUAAUACUUGGCAUUGUUACAUACCAUCAAGUUAUCUCCAACUUAUGACAACCAUAUAGAUGAAUGCCCUACAAAAUAUCCUGUCCUUCACAGCCCUGCUCAGUUCCUGUAAACUGAAGGCUGUGAUUUUCUUUAUGGAAUUUAUCCACAGCUCAUAUUUCAUUUCCCCUGAUAUCUUGAAGUUGCUCCAAAAGAAAGCCUGGGCUUGAUUUGGGCUAGGACCUACUUCUUUGUCUUUUUCUUGGUCUAGGGUAUUUGUAAGCUUCUCCUCCAGCAACAUGUUUCAAAUGCAUUCAUUUUCUUCCUGUUCACUUCCUUUACUGUCUAACUUUCCCACUCAUACCCAGUGAUCAGGAAAUAAUAGUGUGGAUGAUCUUAGUCUUGGUCUUCAGAGAAAAUUGUUGUAUGAUUGUUGUUUUCUUAAUGCUUAGCUGCAGGCCUGCUUUUGCACUUUAUUCUUGUGUUUUCAUCAAUAUUUGUUUCAUUUUACUGCUGCUUUCUACCAGUAAUAUGGUAUUAUCUGCAUAUCUUAAAUUAUUGAUUCAAUAUACUCAAAUGUAAAAUAGAAUUGUUAAGUGAAGGUCCAUUAUACAUAAGUGGAAUAUCAAACAGAUGUAGUCUGAUAAGGGUAUUCAUCACAAAAUAAACACCUAUCACUUAUUCCACUACCAGAUUCAUAUACCACAUUUUUCCUCUAUUAGAAUAUGCUAAGCAAACUGAGAAGUGUUGCAUACUACAAAAAUAAACAAAUCUUAGUGAAUAAGCUUAGUGUUAUCACCAGAGUGUGCCAGAGCAUGUCACCAGACUUCUGCCAGUUUAGGAUAUGAAUAUAACACAAAAAAUGAUGCAAGAAUUUCAGUACAAAACCUGAUCCAACUUCUACAGGGCUAGUAGUUGCCAUGCAUGCAUACACACAUACACACCCCACAAAUCUGACUAGAGUAGAUAGAAUUUAUUGUAUCUGAGAAGAAUUUGAUGUCAUAUUUGACACAGGUCCAGUUGAUAUAAAUUUGCUCCCUUUUUGUCCCCCUUUUUUCAGGAGAAGGAGUUUGAACAGCUCACAAUCAGACAUAUAUAGCAAUUGCCUUUCAAACCUCCCUUUGACACCAGUUAUCCCUCUAGACAUUGCCCAGGUGAAGCUUUUCUUUUACAGACCUGUGUAGAUGAGGACAAGUCCAAGUAUAAAAAUAUACUGUUAAAAAUUACUAGCCAAUCAUGCACAUUUGGUGUGGAUUUUUCUUCUUUUAAAAAUGUACUGUCAAGCACUGACAACCCAUCCAAUAUGCUCCUUGGACACUUUGAAGGAAUGUCACUGGUGGUGACACAGGCAAGAUCAUCAAAAGCUGCAAAGGGAAUUUUGCUGCUCUUGACUCACAUAUAACCCACUGCUGUGUUUAAAUGAAAUUACAAUCCAUUGUGGAUUAAACAAAACUUACAUGGGUUCUUAGGAUGGAUUGUUUAAAAGCAAAGCAACACAACACAACAGAAGCCGCCAAAGCAGCCUGGGUUUGAAUUACACAACAACCAACCAUGGCUACUCACCUCCAAUGGAUUGCCAUAGUGCCUGUACCAAUUGGGUGUAUUGCGUUCACAACAGAACGUGUGUGGGUGUCUGUAUUCUAUGUUAGUCUGUUUUUAAUUCUGAUCUAAAAUGCUUCUUUAUUGUUGUAUCAUAGGCAUUAUUAUAUCUCCUAUUAAAGAUAUCCCUAGGACAGUUUUCAACAUAAUAAAAUAUGCCAUUUAUUUAUUGUAUUUAUGUUUUCUUUUGUUAUAUACAAAUUUUGAAUUUUAUUAGGAAAAUGGUAUUUAUUGUUUUUAUCAAGUUCCCAACCCAAACUGCAUAUUUUUUACUGGUGUUAGAUAAGGGUCUUGUCCUUGUCAUUAGGUAUAAAAGGAAAAACAUUAGGAAGCAUAAAUUGAUAGCAGUAUUCAUUUAAGGAGGAAGCACAAAUCUAUAUGAUAGGAUAUCUGGGAUUGUAAAUAAUGGCAAAUGAACUGCAUAAGUCGCAAAAGCAACAGGACAAAAGAAAUUAAGAAGAGGAAAUAGCAAAAUUGUGUUCCAAUAUACUAAGAUCAGCAAUCUGUAUUCUGCAGCAAAUAUAGGAUUUCAGUAAGAGAGAUUAGAGACAAGUCCCACACCUGUGAUUCAAAAUGCUAUUACUGUCAAAGGCCAUCUUUAUAUGGCCUUCAAGAGGCUCCAUAUUACUUAUGAAGUAACCACAGUGAUUUUAAAUUAUAAUAAAAUGGCUGUGCAGUACUUUGCUUAAAGGCAGAAUCCUCUGUAUAUUUAAUCAUAAGAUGCCCUAUAAGUCUCACUAUGACCCAUGGCUAGCUGGGAGUUGUAGGGCUACUUUAUCUUCUAAGCAUACACAGGACUGAACCCUAAAUUACAACUGCAACAUUGUUCAAGAUCCAACAAUCAAUUACAGCAGGUAGUUUGCCAUGAGUCAUGCCUACCUGGGUGAUCACAUCUGUGUUUUCUGACUCCUUAGUAAUUCACCUGCCACCAUGAUUUCAGCAUUAUCAGUAGUUAAAGAACAUGCAGUUAGCCUUUACUCUGCAAGUGAUAGACAGCAUCACAUGCAGUGACAUUUUGAAGCAGGCAGCCCACCCAGAUGACUGAUGGAUAGUCCCCAUUCUUCACCAAGGAACUUCCAGCUUGCAAUUAAAUCGAAGUAUUGUAGCAGAACACUAAGUUAAGAUCUACCAGAACAGCCUCUUUUAAUUGCACGAACAAUCUAAUUUUCUAGGAUACAGUAAAAAAGGGACAUAAAAUGUCAAAUAUUUCAGCAGAAAAAGGCCUUCACAUCAGAACUGUGUGUUACCGCAUUUAAAGGCCACUUUUACAGUUUUUAAUUAGUUUAAAUGUAUGUAUAAGAAAAAGAAAUCAGUGUUUCUUAUAAUAAUCUAUUACUCAAA